Molecule: long non-coding RNA, 445 nt
Organism: Gasterosteus aculeatus aculeatus (three-spined stickleback)
Lineage: Eukaryota; Metazoa; Chordata; Actinopteri; Perciformes; Gasterosteidae
Source: Ensembl
ACAGGUCCCUGAAGGUCGCGUGAGGGUGAAUUGUAAGAUCGCUGUCUCUUGAAGCUACCGUACCUUUAAGAAGCCGACGUAGCCUUAACCUCCCUCCGCUACGGUGUCCUGCAGACCUCACGGGGACAUCCUGUCCUCACGUUGUCCUCCAGAUGUUCAGAUGUUUAAGAUGCUGCAUUUACGACGGAGCAGAUUAAGAAUAAAAAUCUUUCUCUUUAUUUGUGUCUCUUUGUGGAUUCAAACAAACUUCAGUUUUAUCUGAUACAAAUAUUUACAGUUUGAGUGUAAAACGUCAGCAAAAUAUUGCCUUGCAUAAAAGUACCAGAUGUACCACUGGAAACGUACUGCAGUAUAAGUACAACAAGUACUUCUGAGAUGUACUGCAGUAGAAAGUAUGUGUACUCAAAAUAUGAAUGUACCAUUUAAUACAUUUAACUGAUACAAA